GGAUGCGAUCAUACCAGCACUAAAGCACCGGAUCCCAUCAGAACUCCGAAGUUAAGCGUGCUUGGGCGAGAGUAGUACUAGGAUGGGUGACCUCCUGGGAAGUAGUACUAGGAUGGGUGACCUCCUGGGAAGUCCUCGUGUUGCAUUCC
RNAcentral lists this ribosomal RNA (149 nucleotides) under Triticum aestivum (bread wheat). The record is from RNAcentral. Lineage: Eukaryota; Viridiplantae; Streptophyta; Magnoliopsida; Poales; Poaceae.